This 202-nucleotide ribosomal RNA is filed under the name uncultured bacterium. RNAcentral's name for it is "partial 16S ribosomal RNA". It matches the Rfam family "Bacterial small subunit ribosomal RNA", at positions 133 to 334 of the family's 1533-position model. The record is from RNAcentral.
GGAGUGGGGGGAGUAACUAGUCGAAAGACUAGCUAAUACCGCAUACGAUCUACGGAUGAAAUGGGGGAGUCGCAAGACCUCAUGCUCGUGGAGCGGCCGAUAUCUGAUUAGCUAGUUGGUGGGGUAAAGGGCCUACCAAGGCAUCGAUCAGUAGCUGGUCUGAGAGGACGACCAGCCACACUGGGACUGAGACACGGCCCAG